RNAcentral lists this ribosomal RNA (436 nucleotides) under uncultured Clostridium sp. RNAcentral's name for it is "partial 16S ribosomal RNA". It matches the Rfam family "Bacterial small subunit ribosomal RNA", at positions 341 to 792 of the family's 1533-position model. Lineage: Bacteria; Bacillati; Bacillota; Clostridia; Eubacteriales; Clostridiaceae. The record is from RNAcentral.
ACGGAAGGCAGCAGUGGGGGAUAUUGCACAAUGGUGGAAACUCUGAUGCAGCAACGCCGCGUGAGGGAAGAAGGUCUUCGGAUUGUAAACCUCCGUUUUAGUGACGAAACAAAUGACGGUAGCUCAAGAGGAAGCCACGGCUAACUACGUGCCAGCAGCCGCGGUAAUACGUAGGUGGCAAGCGUUGUCCGGAUUUACUGGGUGUAAAGGGUGCGCAGGCGGGACUGCAAGUUGGAUGUGAAAUGCUGAGGCUUAACCUCAGAACUGCAUCCAAAACUGUAGUUCUUGAGUGGAGUAGAGGUAAGCGGAAUUCCGAGUGUAGCGGUGAAAUGCGUAGAUAUUCGGAGGAACACCAGUGGCGAAGGCGGCUUACUGGGCUCUAACUGACGCUGAGGCACGAAAGUGUGGGUAGCAAACAGGAUUAGAUACCCUGGUA